AGUGAACGCUGGCGGUAGGCCUAACACAUGCAAGUCGAACGGCAGCACAGUAAGAGCUUGCUCUUACGGGUGGCGAGUGGCGGACGGGUGAGGAAUACAUCGGAAUCUACUUUUUCGUGGGGGAUAACGUAGGGAAACUUACGCUAAUACCGCAUACGACCUACGGGUGAAAGCAGGGGAUCUUCGGACCUUGCGCGAGUGAAUGAGCCGAUGUCGGAUUAGCUAGUUGGCGGGGUAAAGGCCCACCAAGGCGACGAUCCGUAGCUGGUCUGAGAGGAUGAUCAGCCACACUGGAACUGAGACACGGUCCAGACUCCUACGGGAGGCAGCAGUGGGGAAUAUUGGACAAUGGGGGCAAGCCUGAUCCAGCCAUACCGCGGGGGUGAAGAAGGACUUCGGGUUGUAAAGCCCUUUUGUUGGGAAAGAAAAGCAGCAGGUUAAUACCCCGCUGUUCUGACGGUACCCAAAGAAUAAGCACCGGCUAACUUCGUG
This 492-nucleotide ribosomal RNA is filed under the name uncultured bacterium. Its description in RNAcentral is "partial 16S ribosomal RNA". It matches the Rfam family "Bacterial small subunit ribosomal RNA", at positions 29 to 507 of the family's 1533-position model. The record is from RNAcentral.